Choloepus didactylus (southern two-toed sloth) is the source of this 454-nucleotide long non-coding RNA. RefSeq lists it as uncharacterized. The record is from RefSeq and is a predicted model, not a curated record. The transcript has 3 exons. NCBI's taxonomy places the organism in Eukaryota, Metazoa, Chordata, Mammalia, Pilosa, Megalonychidae.
AAUCCUCUGAGGAGGGCCAAGAGAGGCUUUGGAGGGCGCAGCAAAUAUUUCGAGGCAGUGCUUCAGUGUCCAGCAGAGCACAUGAGGAAUGGAGAGGUCAGCUCUUGUCUCUAAUCAUGGCCUUAAAAGACCCUGGACAGUCUUCGCAAAAUCACGUCCCAAUAUUUAGAAGACAACACUGAGGUUCAGCAAGGUUUUAGAGGAUCUGCCCGAGAUCAACGAGGGCUUUCUCAGUCCCAGCCUCUCUCGGCUGUUCCCCGUCUGCUGGGGAAACUCGUUGCUGCCCCUCUGUAAGCUCUGUUUCCUCAGCAAAAUCCGUAUUUCUCAAGAGUUGUGGUGAUGUCUUUCAGCCUAUGUCCCAGCCGGUCUUAUCUCUCGGUCUGGGGCUGCCUCUCAUUCCCCAGUAUCUGGCAUGCAGCAAGAGUUCAACAAAUACUGGCUUUUAUUGGAUAUU